RNAcentral lists this ribosomal RNA (546 nucleotides) under uncultured bacterium. RNAcentral's name for it is "partial 16S ribosomal RNA". It matches the Rfam family "Bacterial small subunit ribosomal RNA", at positions 355 to 920 of the family's 1533-position model. The record is from RNAcentral.
UGGGGAAUAUUGGACAAUGGGCGCAAGCCUGAUCCAGCAAUGCCGCGUGAGUGAUGAAGGCCUUAGGGUUGUAAAGCUCUUUCGCACGCGACGAUGAUGACGGUAGCGUGAGAAGAAGCCCCGGCUAACUUCGUGCCAGCAGCCGCGGUAAUACGAAGGGGGCUAGCGUUGUUCGGAAUUACUGGGCGUAAAGGGCGCGUAGGCGGCCUGUUUAGUCAGAAGUGAAAGCCCCGGGCUCAACCUGGGAAUAGCUUUUGAUACUGGCAGGCUUGAGUUCCGGAGAGGAUGGUGGAAUUCCCAGUGUAGAGGUGAAAUUCGUAGAUAUUGGGAAGAACACCGGUGGCGAAGGCGGCCAUCUGGACGGACACUGACGCUGAGGCGCGAAAGCGUGGGGAGCAACAGGAUUAGAUACCCUGGUAGUCCACGCCGUAAACGAUGAAUGCUAGACGUCGGGGUGCAUGCACUUCGGUGUCGCCGCUAACGCAUUAAGCAUUCCGCCUGGGGAGUACGGCCGCAAGGUUAAAACUCAAAUGAAUUGACGGGGUC